UACGAAGGGAGCUAGCGUUGUUCGGAAUUACUGGGCGUAAAGCGCGCGUAGGUGGCUAUUCAAGUCAGGGGUGAAAUCCCGGGGCUCAACCCCGGAACUGCCUUUGAAACUGUAUAGCUUGAGUCUCGGAGGGGAUGGUGGAAUUUCUAAUGUAGCGGUGAAAUGCGUAGAGAUUAGAAGGAACACCGGUGGCGAAGGCGACCAUCUGGACGAGUACUGACACUGAGGCGCGAAAGCGUGGGUAGCAAACAGG
This 253-nucleotide ribosomal RNA is filed under the name uncultured bacterium. RNAcentral describes it as "partial 16S ribosomal RNA". It matches the Rfam family "Bacterial small subunit ribosomal RNA", at positions 524 to 776 of the family's 1533-position model. The record is from RNAcentral.